Molecule: long non-coding RNA, 758 nt
Filed under: Equus caballus (horse)
Lineage: Eukaryota; Metazoa; Chordata; Mammalia; Perissodactyla; Equidae
Description: lncRNA (ENSECAG00000028948.3)
Source: RNAcentral
UUAAGGUCCUUUCUGCAUUACUUUCUGCAUGGGAUGGAGCCUCUGAAAGCUGAUGCCUUUUAACUCCAGACUGUGUGAAUGGCAGCUCCUGGAAUUCUGCAGUGCACAACCUGUGUGGCCUAACAUGGCAGCCCUGAAUAGGAAGCACUUCUCUCUUCCCUUGUUGCUUCCAGGGAAUCUACGCUAAAGUGUCCUUAGGGCCUUGUGGAGAAGGACUUUGUGUUUUUGAGACAGGAUGCAUAUCAUUUGGGCAAAGUCUUCAGUGUAAAAGAUGUUAUCAAGGAGCAGAUUGCUGGCUUAUCAAGAAGAGGAAUGAAUGCUAGGGAAGUGGGAUAUAGAAGAUCAAAGAAGAAUUCUUUCUGAGAUGCCAACAGCACUAUCCCUACCAGUUCUAUAGGCUGUAUUCACUGAGAUGGCCAAACCAAAGAAGGAGAAAUCGUUGCUUCCUAGUGGCACUUAGGAGCAUCCAGCAGCACAUGACAUCUGCCUCUUCGCUUGAGAAGCCUCUAAGGUUGGAAAAUCUAUUCUGCUGUAGACUUUGGACACCUCCAUAUAUACCUACCUGUGUGAUAUUCCUUUAUGAAGAAAACAUAUUUCUAUUUAAUUCUUAGCUCAAUAUGAAAAUUUAUAAAAUAGAGUCAUAUAUUCAGGUCCCACAUUAAGCUAAUCUGAUAUUUGGACAUUUGGAUUUAAGAUAAAAUAGUGUUUUCAUUAUAAAAAUGUUCACCAACAGUUUACUUUAAAUAGUUACUCUUUCU